GACGAACGCUGGCGGCGUGCCUAAUACAUGCAAGUUGAGCGCUGAAGGUUGGUACUUGUACCAACUGGAUGAGCAGCGAACGGGUGAGUAACGCGUGGGGAAUCUGCCUUUGAGCGGGGGACAACAUUUGGAAACGAAUGCUAAUACCGCAUAAAAACUUUAAACACAAGUUUUAAGUUUGAAAGAUGCAAUUGCAUCACUCAAAGAUGAUCCCGCGUUGUACUAGCUAGUUGGUGAGGUAAAGGCUCACCAAGGCGAUGAUACAUAGCCGACCUGAGAGGGUGAUCGGCCACAUUGGGACUGAGACACGGCCCAAACUCCUACGGGAGGCAGCAGUAGGGAAUCUUCGGCAAUGGACGAAAGUCUGACCGAGCAACGCCGCGUGAGUGAAGAAGGUUUUCGGAUCGUAAAGCUCUGUUGGUAGAGAAGAACGUUGGUGAGAGUGGAAAGCUCAUCAAGUGACGGUAACUACCCAGAAAGGGACGGCUAACUACGUG
RNAcentral lists this ribosomal RNA (497 nucleotides) under uncultured bacterium. Its description in RNAcentral is "partial 16S ribosomal RNA". It matches the Rfam family "Bacterial small subunit ribosomal RNA", at positions 28 to 507 of the family's 1533-position model. The record is from RNAcentral.